ACCGACUCCUACGGGAGGCAGCAGUGAGGAAUAUUGGUCAAUGGGCGCGAGCCUGAACCAGCCAAGUCGCGUGAGGGACGACGGCCCUACGGGUUGUAAACCUCUUUUGCCGGGGAGCAACGGGCGCCACGUGUGGCGCCACUGAGAGUACCCGGAGAAAAAGCAUCGGCUAACUCCGUGCCAGCAGCCGCGGUAAUACGGAGGAUGCGAGCGUUAUCCGGAUUUAUUGGGUUUAAAGGGUGCGCAGGCGGAAGAUCAAGUCAGCGGUAAAAUUGAGGGGCUCAACCUCUUCGAGCCGUUGAAACUGGUUUUCUUGAGUGAGUGAGAAGUAUGCGGAAUGCGUGGUGUAGCGGUGAAAUGCAUAGAUAUCACGCAGAACUCCGAUUGCGAAGGCAGCGCACCGGCGCCCUACUGACGCUCAGGCACGAAAGCGUGGGUAUCGAACAGGAUUAGAUACCCCCGUAAC
Molecule: ribosomal RNA, 466 nt
Filed under: uncultured bacterium
Lineage: Bacteria
Description: partial 16S ribosomal RNA
Rfam family: Bacterial small subunit ribosomal RNA
Source: RNAcentral